CCGAGUACUCGGGGAUGAAAAAGUUCAGAUCAAGUGGAGCGUGAAAAGGUUUUGGAGAGAUUCUUCGCUGUCUGCAGUACCGGCUCAUUUAACAUUCUGGAGAUACCUUUCCAAAUGGCCACCGCAGUAAUGCUGCACACUGCUGUGGCACUGACGAUGAUGCAUAUCUGGAAUAGCCGCGUCGGGGAUUGUCAGCCAGAACCGUCAGAAAGCGUGAAGCUGAGGUUGGUGAAUGGCGGCACUCGAUGUGAUGGGAGAUUGGAGAUUCAGUACAAAGGAAACUGGGGGACGGUGGAUGGUAACUCCUGGGAUAUG
Molecule: long non-coding RNA, 315 nt
Organism: Hypanus sabinus (Atlantic stingray)
Lineage: Eukaryota; Metazoa; Chordata; Chondrichthyes; Myliobatiformes; Dasyatidae
Exons: 3
Source: RefSeq, a predicted model, not a curated record